Molecule: transfer RNA, 67 nt
Filed under: Cherax robustus
Lineage: Eukaryota; Metazoa; Arthropoda; Malacostraca; Decapoda; Parastacidae
Description: tRNA-Met
Source: RNAcentral
CCAAAAGAUAAGCUAAGCAAGCUAAUGGGCUCAUACCUCAUUUAUGAGACUAAAUCUCUCUCUUUUU